AAUAGAUACCCGGGUAGUCCACGCCGUAAACGAUGAGUGCUAAGUGUUAGGGGUUUCCGCCCCUUAGUGCUGCAGCUAACGCAUUAAGCACUCCGCCUGGGGAGUACGGUCGCAAGACUGAAACUCAAAGGAAUUGACGGGGGCCCGCACAAGCGGUGGAGCAUGUGGUUUAAUUCGAAGCAACGCGAAGAACCUUACCAGGUCUUGACAUCCCAUUGACCGCUAUGGAGACAUAGCUUUCCCUUCGGGGACAGUGGUGACAGGUGGUGCAUGGUUGUCGUCAGCUCGUGUCGUGAGAUGUUGGGUUAAGUCCCGCAACGAGCGCAACCCUUGUUCUUAGUUGCCAUCAUUUAGUUGGGCACUCUAAGGAGACUGCCGGUGACAAACCGGAGGAAGGUGGGGAUGACGUCAAAUCAUCAUGCCCCUUAUGACCUGGGCUACACACGUGCUACAAUGGACGGUACAAACGGUUGCCAACCCGCGAGGGGAGCUAAUCCGAUAAAACCGUUCUCAGUUCGGAUUGUAGGCUGCAACUCGCCUAC
This 542-nucleotide ribosomal RNA is filed under the name uncultured bacterium. RNAcentral's name for it is "bacterial SSU rRNA". It matches the Rfam family "Bacterial small subunit ribosomal RNA", at positions 777 to 1319 of the family's 1533-position model. The record is from RNAcentral.